UGAAAUUAGGGCUCAUAUGCCCCCGUCCUCACUUAUUGCUCGGUCAAAUGAACGGGAUACAACGAUGGCAAGGAACGAAGGCGGACGAACGCAGAGGGGGAAAAGGGAGUACGAAGGAUCGCAUUUGGUUGAUCGAUUUCUAGAAGGAGGUCGUCUCCAGGGGUCGACGAGGCCGAAGAACGAAGAUGGGAAAAAGCAGCGAAGCUUUCUUCCUGCUCCGAUGGUGAUGUGCGAAGGGGGAAAGGGAAUCGGUCUGCCUGGAGCGAUGCGAGCAGCAAAAACGGCACAACCGAGGCUUCGAUGGCCGCUGCUCGAUAGGAGAAAAGAGAAGGUACGAGGGUGAGGCCAGAAGAGUGUUUCAUCGGUGUCAGUGGGUGCAGCGAUGAGAUGUGAGGUUAGCUGCUCCAAUGGAGCAAUCAAACGACGAAAGAAUCUCCGGUGAGGCAUCCGACGACAGUACAAGCGGAGAAGGGUGGUGCGAUGGGGCUAUUUACGAUCGGUGGUGACAGGUGCGUGGAUAGGGCUGCUUCAGCAGCUCCCUUGUUCUUCUUGUUUUUUUUUNUUUUUUUUUUUUUUUUUUUUUUUUUUUUUUUUUUUUUUUUUUUUUUGACAGAAAUCAAUUGAAGGAAAUGGUGUUUGGUUUUGAUGUUUGAUAGGGGGAGAGGCAAAAACAGAUUGGCGAUCUUCAAGGGGGUGUUUAGGUGGUUCAGUCGAUGGAACAAAUGGAGAGGAGGGGUCAGGGCGGAAGACAAACAUUUCAAGCGAGGGGGCCCAAAUUAGAACUUCAAAACAAAUACUUAUUAUGAUUGUUACUCAUUUAUAAUACAUGCAUUUAAAUGAGAG
This 843-nucleotide long non-coding RNA is filed under the name Lactuca sativa (garden lettuce). RNAcentral's name for it is "long non-coding RNA (LSAT_LNC009848)". Lineage: Eukaryota; Viridiplantae; Streptophyta; Magnoliopsida; Asterales; Asteraceae. The record is from RNAcentral.